RNAcentral lists this ribosomal RNA (460 nucleotides) under uncultured bacterium. Its description in RNAcentral is "partial 16S ribosomal RNA". It matches the Rfam family "Bacterial small subunit ribosomal RNA", at positions 338 to 795 of the family's 1533-position model. The record is from RNAcentral.
CCUACGGGAGGCAGCAGUGAGGAAUAUUGGUCAAUGGGCGGAAGCCUGAACCAGCCAAGUAGCGUGCGGGAUGAAGGCCCUACGGGUCGUAAACCGCUUUUGCACGGGGAUAACACCUUCCACUUGUGGAGGUCUGCAGGUACCGUGCGAAUAAGGGCCGGCUAAUUCCGUGCCAGCAGCCGCGGUAAUACGGAGGGUCCGAGCGGUAUCCGGAUUUAUUGGGCGUAAAGGGAGCGUAGGCGGGCCGACAAGUCAGCUGUGAAAUCGCCGGGCUCAAACCCCGCCCUGCAUUUGAAACUGGAGGCCUUGAGUUCAGAAGAGGCAGGCGGAAUUCGUGGUGUAGCGGUGAAAUGCGUAGAUAUCACGAGGAACCCCGAUUGCGAAGGCAGCCUGCCGGGGUGCAACUGACGCUGAGGCUCGAAGGUGCGGGUAGCAAACAGGAUUAGAUACCCCGGUAGUC